This 1231-nucleotide long non-coding RNA is filed under the name Anas platyrhynchos platyrhynchos (common mallard). Its description in RNAcentral is "lncRNA (ENSAPLG00000019704.1)". The record is from RNAcentral. Lineage: Eukaryota; Metazoa; Chordata; Aves; Anseriformes; Anatidae.
AUGCUGCACAAGCUGGUCUCAUUAGGAGUGUUGUUUGCAUCCUUCCCUUGGAAAGGGGACACAGCACUGCACCCUGUGGCUAAGACUGACACAGGGCAGCUGAAGAACCAGAGAACUGGAGAAUGGUUUGAGAAAGUGUCCUCCUCAUUGCAGUCGAUACCUUCUAGUUCACGUGUUGAAAGGACAGAACCCUGUAGACAGAAGACGGAUUGGCUCACACUGGAUAAAUGAGUACAUGGUAGUAGCUCAUGCUGGUUAAUAGCAAUGAAGGGGCUCGGUACUUAUUAAACUAAACUGGUUCUUUGCUAACAUAACUACUUAAAGGUGAUGUAGCUGUACCUAGUAAUAUAGUUUGAUUUCUCAGUGCCUCCUUCAAACUGCAGCUUGGAGCAAUUUCUUCCCUCUAACAGAAACUUUACUGUUGCUUGGCUUAUGUGUGUUUGCUGCCUUGCUGCUUACUGCUACUUGGCCUACCACAGGUGGAUGGUAUUUACCAAACUGUUAAAGUUCAAAGGCUCUGUUUAGGUGGAGGGGCAAAUAUGGUCUGUGUUAAGCCUUGAGAUGAGGUUUACUAAUUUUAGUUCCUUUGGGAAUCAUGUUGACAGGCAGAUGGUGUGUGCUUGACUGUCACCUUGAAAUUGAUCCUGGACGCAACCAAGCUGGGAUACAUCUGCAACUGGGAAAUGGUGAGUGAUGCCAUGUCCUAUACUCUAGGCAUGGUCUUAGACCUUCAGUGACGUCAGAUGCUAGCAUCUGGCUUGUGAUACUGUUUUGUGCCUAUAACAACUGUUUGCCUUUGCCUUGCUUAGCAGUUCUGUGUUAGUCCUCUGUCCUGCUCAUCACUAUAAUUCUUUUGCUUUGCUGAUUCAGGCCACCUGAUAAAGAGGAAUUUUUUGACCGCAACCUUGUAAGUGUAGGAGUGUCAGUUACUCUUCAUGCAUUCAAUUUCAUCUCUAUGGAUGCUAUGGGCACCUACUACAAGGACUGCAGGAUUUGGUGAGUAGCAGUUUUACAUGCAAUUCAUCCUUUGCAAACUUGCAAACAUUCCCUUUCAGCCCUCUUCUCUCCAAAAUAAGGAGACAGUCUUUUUAGUCUCCCAGAAGCCAACUCUUUCAUAUAUUCCUCCACUUUAGUGGCUCUUUGUAUGGUAUUGAACUCCACUAUGUCCUUGAGAUACAGGUACUCAAAACAGUUAAAGGGCAAUUGCAGUGAUGUUUCUUGUUGUUGUAUU